GUGUAAGCUGGGCUGGUGGCCGCGGUAGUAAAGAGGGGGGAAGCGGUAAUCUGAAUUACGGGGCGUGAGGCGUGUGUAGGUGGGUACCUAAGUCUAUUGUGAAAUCCCUGGGGUCAACCUGGGAAGGGCAGUCGAUACUGGGCAGCUCGAGUUCGGUAGAGGGUGACGGAAUUCCCGGUGUAGCGGUGAAAGGCGUAGAUAUCGGGAGGAACAGCGAUGGCGAAGGCAAUCACCUGGGCCUGAACUGACACUGUGACACGAAAGCGUGGGUAGCAAACAGGAUUAGAUACCCCGGUAGUC
This 300-nucleotide ribosomal RNA is filed under the name uncultured Methanomassiliicoccus sp. RNAcentral describes it as "bacterial SSU rRNA". It matches the Rfam family "Bacterial small subunit ribosomal RNA", at positions 496 to 795 of the family's 1533-position model. The record is from RNAcentral. Lineage: Archaea; Methanobacteriati; Thermoplasmatota; Thermoplasmata; Methanomassiliicoccales; Methanomassiliicoccaceae.